UACGCAGGGUGCGAGCGUUAAUCGGAAUUACUGGGCGUAAAGCGUGCGCAGGCGGUUUUGUAAGCCAGAUGUGAAAUCCCCGGGCUCAACCUGGGAAUGGCAUUUGGGACUGCAAGGCUGGAGUACGGCAGAGGAGACUGGAAUUCCUGGUGUAGCAGUGAAAUGCGUAGAUAUCAGGAGGAAUACCGAUGGCGAAGGCAGGUCUCUGGGCUGAUACUGACGCUCAUGCACGAAAGCGUGGGGAGCAAACAGG
This 253-nucleotide ribosomal RNA is filed under the name uncultured bacterium. RNAcentral describes it as "partial 16S ribosomal RNA". It matches the Rfam family "Bacterial small subunit ribosomal RNA", at positions 524 to 776 of the family's 1533-position model. The record is from RNAcentral.